Long non-coding RNA from Numida meleagris (helmeted guineafowl), 3407 nucleotides. RefSeq lists it as uncharacterized. The record is from RefSeq and is a predicted model, not a curated record. Lineage: Eukaryota; Metazoa; Chordata; Aves; Galliformes; Numididae. The transcript is spliced from 3 exons.
CGUGAGAGAUGUUUUGGUGGCUGAAAAAAUGGACUGAGCCCUUUCCAUGUUCAGUGUGCAGCUGGUUGGUGGUGGUGUCUUCUGUUUUGUUUAAGCACCCAGAAAUCAAAUAUUAACCUGAUUAUGAAUUCAGCGUUACAUGUAAGGCGGGGAAGAGCUGCAGGUGGUGACAGACAACUGGCUCGCGUUUGAUCUGGCAGUUUUCAUCUACGCCACCAUUUUAUUCCUGCUGUGGGACUGCAACAAAAUGGUGGCUCACUCGUUCUGAGCCUCGGUGAUGAAUCGGGUGUGUGAAAUCCCAGCCCCUGUGUGCCAGGGACUGCGCUCACUCCGCAAAAGAGCGCGCUGAAAGACGUACUCUUGCUAGUAUGCGAUGUACAAUAGGAUCUCCUACUGGGGAGCGGGGAAGGAACUACAUUAAUUCUUCUCAUGGGACGGGGAUUUAGGAAUUUCAUCGUUCAGUGAGUUUUUCCACACACACACACACACACACGCACACCCCCCCCUCAUGUUUUCUUUGGGUAAGGAAGGGAGAUAAUCUCUUUGGAGCAUAUGUACAGGAAUGCUUGCUGUGAUGCCUCUAAGGCAACCAAGUGGCAGGCAUGGCUGCAUGUCUUCAAGUAGCCCCCGUGCUUCCUCCUGUAGGCUCUGGGAUGAGUUUUACUUCAGAAUUUUGCCCAGCAGAGCCUGGGUGCAGAGGGAGCUCGGCACUCCCAGGGUGCACAGCUGAGCUGGCCCUGGCUUGGGUGCCCUUGAGAUUAUGAAUCUCUUGGAGCAGAUCAGGGCUGCAGUUUGGGAAAUCCCUUCCUAGCAGAGAUUUCUGUUGACCCAGAAAUGCCAAGCGCCCACUGCCCAUUUCUGACGUCCCCAAAGAAAGCUGUGGCAAGGCAUUGUGUUACUCAGCAAGGUCAGAGCUGGCUUCUUUGGCUGAGCAUACUGAUUUCUGCCUUCUAGAGAUCUCCCGGAGUUAUCUCAGUCAUCAACCUGGGAUCUCCCAAAUGACCUCCAGAAUGGACACAGGGUGCUCAGUUCCACUUUGAUGCCCUGUCACGUGAAGAGAUGGUGCUUGGCCAGUGCCUGAACUAGCAGCUGACUUCUGGAGACCAUGGGGAAAUCCACAUUACUUAUAAGAGAAAUUAUGCAUGACUCAGUUUCCCCACUCUCUCAAGUGAUGAGGAUCUAGAAAAUUAAUUUCUGACCUGGGGCGGGACAAGAGGUGCUGCACCAGGCCCUGCCUUAACAAGCAUCCAACAUUGAGCAUGCCUGGGUCCAUCCAUUAAUGAAUUAAGAAUGGGCAGCACCUGAUGCUAACUUUGAGCUACUGGGAACCAAGAAAUGCAGGGUGUGAGGAAAUGGCAUCAGCAGAGCUCAAAACAGAGGUUGGGAGUGUUGGUGGAUUCCUGUUAGACCAACACUGUGCUGUGCCCUGUGUGAGAAAACUGAAGGUUUUACUUUUCCACUUCAGUUGAGGGAUGUGGACAAGCCUAUUUCAGCCAGAAACCCUGCUACCAAAUUAGAGAGUUGCCCAAGGGGAGAUGACUUUGCUUUGGGCUUGCUGGGAGGACAGGUCAAGCUGUGGUGGAACAGUCUGAAGGGCCAUGUUAUUUCUGUGGCCAAAAGCUCAAGCUGGUGUUGGCAUUUGCCCUUCUCUGCCGGAAAAGAAACCUUCCUCGUGAGUAACUGACUGAACAUGACAAUCCUCCUUAUUCAGAGAGGACCAGUAGGGAUCCCACAGCCAUAGCUGGUCAAAAAGAACCAUUCUGAUCAAACUGAAGUGUCUCUUAAGAACCUUCUGAUUCUCAUUGUACAAUAAUAAAGAAAAGAAUAUAACUAUCUGGGCCAAUAAUAUUCAGAAUCCAGUGUGUGUCCUCCCCAGGUUCUUCUGUAGGAGCUGCUCUGGAUGUGUUGUAUAUGUUCAUUUAUACAGCAAAUUGGAUGGAUUGUGGCAUGGGUUUAUCGUCUUCGAGGCUUAGAAAUCACCCUUCACAACUCUGGGCUGACUGAUGUAUUUAUUGGUAAUCUAUUGACAUUUAUUGUUCAAUGAUAACUUAGAAAAUGAUUUUUGUGCUGGGAUGAACUUCAGAACAAACACUACUUCAGCACAACAUUUUUUUUGUUUCAAGUUUUCUUCGUCCUUCAGCCUCACAGUUGUGCCUAAAACUGUUGUGUAUCGAUAAGAGCUUCCUUCCACCCAUAAUUUACUCUCUCCUUCUGUUCCCUGCUGUAAACAAGCCAUUAAAAAUGUGUUUAUGACAUCACAGUUGGUGACCAUGGAAAUGACUUUGAUGUUAGAAAGACAAAUAUAGCAUCGUGAUUUCACGGCAGGAUCAAGGCUGGAGAAGACCCUUGUUCAAAUGGCGGGUAAUUAACAAAGUUUGCAUUGCAGCAUGGCACCGGUGGAGAAGUAAGACAGCCAUAUGCCAGCACCACUGCAGUGAGAACGAGAGAGGGGAACCUUCCAGAGCCCACAGGAGGAUGAGGACGGUGGCACUUUGCAGGAGCAGAACCGCAGCCCCUGGGCACGCAGCCCUUGCCCUGCUCAGCCCGGCUCUCACACCUGGAACAGCAGACAGCACAGAGGUCCAGCAGGUUUGGGUGAUUACUGACCUGGAAAACAUCUCUUGCUUAGGAGCUCACCAGCAUUAGCCCUGCAGGCAGCUGCCCUCAUGGGCAGCAUUGCUGCAGAGCAGUGCAAGGGGAAAGUCACAGAGCACAGUGCUGCCAGCAGCUGCGUGUCCCCAUCCUCAGCCGUACGCUCCCCAAGGAGCCCGCUUGGCAGCUUCGAAGAUUCAUCAUCAGCCUCACAUUGCAUCGUGCUUUGGCUGAAAGUUGAGCCGACUGUGUGCUAUCUCCGCAGGCUCCCGGUGUGCCUCCCCUCCCUGAGCACACAGCGAUGUCUUACGGACAGGAUGCGUGUGCUUUGGCUGUAUGAAAUUGCAGCAUUCUUUCUAGGGGAGAAAAAAUUUAAUUUUGCUCUAAAUUCCUCUAUAACCAAACCGAUCUCCAUUUAUAUCCCAGACAGUAAAUCACAGCAACAUGAAGUCUCGUGCACAGAACUGAAGUGGUUCCUUAAAGCAAAUUUGGCAGGAAAUAAGUCAUCAUCUUGCAAAGCCAGUUCACUCUCAUACGCAGCACUCCCUGAGCUCUCCGCUAAAAUCUGCGAGCAGGCACGAAAAGUCAUUAUUUUGAAAAAUGGGGCAAGAUCUCUGAGUCGUGGCGAGGCCCUGUGAGAUGGACCACAUGAUGCUGCUAUCAAAACAACACAGAACUUGGUCAGGGAAUCACCCCAUGAGUCCUCCCCGACUCCUGGGCUUGCAGCGCGCGGGUACUCAGAUAUCACAAGGGCCAUUAGUUUGGCUCCUUAUAAAAACAAGGUCGUGCUGCUCUCACAUCUUCCCUCUGCGCUU